GGAUCCAGACUUUGAUUAUGGCUCAGGACGAACGCUGGCGGCGCGCCUAACACAUGCAAGUCGAACGAGAGAGAGGGAGCUUGCUUCCUCAAUCGAGUGGCGAACGGGUGAGUAACGCGUGAGGAACCUGCCUCAAAGAGGGGGACAACAGUUGGAAACGACUGCUAAUACCGCAUAAGCCCACGACCCGGCAUCGGGAAGAGGGAAAAGGAGCAAUCCGCUUUGAGAUGGCCUCGCGUCCGAUUAGCUAGUUGGUGAGGUAACGGCCCACCAAGGCGACGAUCGGUAGCCGGACUGAGAGGUUGAACGGCCACAUUGGGACUGAGACACGGCCCAGACUCCUACGGGAGGCAGCAGUGGGGAAUAUUGCACAAUGGGGGAAACCCUGAUGCAGCGACGCCGCGUGGAGGAAGAAGGUCUUCGGAUUGUAAACUCCUGUUGUUGAGGAAGAUAAUGACGGUACUCAACAAGGAAGUGACGGCUAACUACGUGCCAGCAGCCGCGGUAAAACGUAGGUCACAAGCGUUGUCCGGAAUUACUGGGUGUAAAGGGAGCGCAGGCGGGAAGACAAGUUGGAAGUGAAAUCCAUGGGCUCAACCCAUGAACUGCUUUCAAAACUGUUUUUCUUGAGUAGUGCAGAGGUAGGCGGAAUUCCCGGUGUAGCGGUGGAAUGCGUAGAUAUCGGGAGGAACACCAGUGGCGAAGGCGGCCUACUGGGCACCAACUGACGCUGAGGCUCGAAAGUGUGGGUAGCAAACAGGAUUAGAUACCCUGGUAGUCCACACCGUAAACGAUGAUUACUAGGUGUUGGGAGAUUGACCCUCUCAGUGCCGCAGUUAACACAAUAAGUA
This 851-nucleotide ribosomal RNA is filed under the name uncultured Bacillota bacterium. Its description in RNAcentral is "bacterial SSU rRNA". It matches the Rfam family "Bacterial small subunit ribosomal RNA", at positions 1 to 866 of the family's 1533-position model. Lineage: Bacteria; Bacillati; Bacillota. The record is from RNAcentral.